CACCGCCCGUCCACACCACUGGAGGUCGAUUGCUCCAGAAGUGGCUGCGCCAACCCGCAAGGGAGGUAGGUCCCCAAGGAGUGAUCGGUGACUGGGGUG
This 99-nucleotide ribosomal RNA is filed under the name uncultured bacterium. RNAcentral's name for it is "partial 16S ribosomal RNA". The record is from RNAcentral.